GGGUUGUGAGGUUAAGCGACUAAGCGUACACGGUGGAUGCCCUGGCAGUCAGAGGCGAUGAAGGGCGUGCUAAUCUGCGAUAAGCGCCGGUAAGGUGAUAUGAACCGUUAUAACCGGCGAUACCCGAAUGGGGAAACCCAGUGUGAUUCGUCACACUAUCAUUAACUGAAUCCAUAGGUUAAUGAGGCGAACCGGGGGAACUGAAACAUCUAAGUACCCCGAGGAAAAGAAAUCAACCGAGAUUCCCCCAGUAGCGGCGAGCGAACGGGGAGGAGCCCAGAGCCUGAAUCAGCAUGUGUGUUAGUGGAAGCGUCUGGAAAGGCGCGCGAUACAGGGUGACAGCCCCGUACACAAAAGCGCAUGUGCUGUGAGCUCGAUGAGUAGGGCGGGACACGUGGUAUCCUGUCUGAAUAUGGGGGGACCAUCCUCCAAGGCUAAAUACUCCUGACUGACCGAUAGUGAACCAGUACCGUGAGGGAAAGGCGAAAAGAACCCCGGCGAGGGGAGUGAAAAAGAACCUGAAACCGUGUACGUACAAGCAGUGGGAGCCCCACCACUAAGCCAGUGGUGAACUCCACAUACGCAUCCUUUGCUGAGGAUACGGUUAACGGAGCGAAAGCGACGUUCAACCUCAAAAGAAGCAGAGGGGGCUUAGUGGUGGGGUGACUGCGUACCU
Molecule: ribosomal RNA, 676 nt
Filed under: Salmonella enterica subsp. enterica serovar Mbandaka
Lineage: Bacteria; Pseudomonadati; Pseudomonadota; Gammaproteobacteria; Enterobacterales; Enterobacteriaceae
Description: bacterial LSU rRNA
Rfam family: Bacterial large subunit ribosomal RNA
Source: RNAcentral